This 477-nucleotide ribosomal RNA is filed under the name uncultured Bacteroidota bacterium. RNAcentral's name for it is "bacterial SSU rRNA". It matches the Rfam family "Bacterial small subunit ribosomal RNA", at positions 28 to 505 of the family's 1533-position model. The record is from RNAcentral. Lineage: Bacteria; Pseudomonadati; Bacteroidota.
GACGAACGCUAGCGGCGGGCUUAAUACAUGCAAGUCGAGGGAGAGAUUCACUUCGGUGGAUGGAAACCGGCGAACGGGUGCGUAACGCGUAUGUAACUUGCCCCUUAGAAAGGAAUAGCCUAUGGAAACGUAGAUUAAUGCCUUAUAUGCUUGCGGUAUCGCAUGGUACAGCAAGGAAAGAUUUAUCGCUAAGGGAUGGACAUGCGUGACAUUAGCUAGUUGGUAAGGUAAUGGCUUACCAAGGCGACGAUGUCUAGCUGGUCUGAGAGGAUGAUCAGCCACACGGGCACUGAGACACGGGCCCGACUCCUACGGGAGGCAGCAGUAAGGAAUAUUGGUCAAUGGGGGCAACCCUGAACCAGCCACGCCGCGUGCAGGAAGAAGGUUCUCUGGAUUGUAAACUGCUUUUGUUAGGGACUAAACUUGUGCUAUAUGCACAACUGCAGGUACCUAAAGAAUAAGCGCCGGCUAACUACG